GAUGAACGCUGGCGGCGUGCUUAACACAUGCAAGUCGAACGGGAAACAUUUUAUUGAAGCUUCGGCAGAUUUAGCUUGUUUCUAGUGGCGGACGGGUGAGUAACGCGUGGGUAACCUGCCUUAUACUGGGGGAUAACAGCCAGAAAUGACUGCUAAUACCGCAUAAGCGCACAGAACCGCAUGGUUCGGUGUGAAAAACUCCGGUGGUAUAAGAUGGACCCGCGUUGGAUUAGCUAGUUGGCAGGGCAGCGGCCUACCAAGGCGACGAUCCAUAGCCGGCCUGAGAGGGUGAACGGCCACAUUGGGACUGAGACACGGCCCAGACUCCUACGGGAGGCAGCAGUGGGGAAUAUUGCACAAUGGGGGAAACCCUGAUGCAGCGACGCCGCGUGAAGGAAGAAGUAUCUCGGUAUGUAAACUUCUAUCAGCAGGGAAGAUAAUGACGGUACCUGACUAAGAAGCCCCGGCUAACUACGUG
Molecule: ribosomal RNA, 478 nt
Filed under: uncultured bacterium
Lineage: Bacteria
Description: bacterial SSU rRNA
Rfam family: Bacterial small subunit ribosomal RNA
Source: RNAcentral